AAGAUGAAUAUGAGAGCAGAGAUUAACCAAAAGUUGACAGAAACCGGAGUAAGAGAACGCCUGAAAGAGCUGCUGAGCUAAAUUAAUUGAAUGUGGCUGAAAGGAUGAGUUGAUAAAGAUAAUGUAAAGAUAAUGAUUUUAAGUGAUAUGUUUUUUGCUUUUGCAUUAAGAGGUAAUUAAAGAGAAAGGACUAGAACACGUUAUUGUCGAUGACUUGGUGGCUGAAAUCACUCCAAAAGGCAGAGCCCUAGUACUUGACAGUUUAAAGAAGGAGCUCCUACAAAAAAAUAAAAACAUUCCUUGCUCAGCCUGUCAGUCUUUAAGAUUGACCUAGAUUGUGUUGUUCUGUGGUAUUAUUUUUGAAAGUAAUAUCUGCCAUAAAUUAGAAAACCAUUCCCAAAAUAAAAUCCCUUUUUGUAUGAUGAUAUAUGGUUUUCAGUAGUGAUGUCUAUGUUGUAUUGAUUUUUUCCCCCAAAUGUGUUAUUUUAAU
This 490-nucleotide long non-coding RNA is filed under the name Homo sapiens (human). Its description in RNAcentral is "non-protein coding lnc-PRR14L-3:2". The record is from RNAcentral. Lineage: Eukaryota; Metazoa; Chordata; Mammalia; Primates; Hominidae.